UCGAGAAUUUUUCACAAUGGGGAACCCUGAUGGAGCGACGCCGCGUGGAGGAUGAAGGCCCUCGGGUCGUAAACUCCUGUCAUGCGGGAACAAGAAAGUGAUAGUACCGCAAGAGGAAGAGACGGCUAACUCUGUGCCAGCAGCCGCGGUAAUACAGAGGUCUCAAGCGUUGUUCGGAUUCAUUGGGCGUAAAGGGUGCGUAGGUGGCGAUGUAAGUCUGGUGUGAAAUCUCGGGGCUCAACCCCGAAAUUGCAUCGGAUACUGCGUUGCUUGAGGAUUGUAGAGGAGAGUGGAAUUCAUGGUGUAGCAGUGAAAUGCGUAGAUAUCAUGAGGAAGACCAGUUGCGAAGGCGACUCUCUGGGCAACUCCUGACACUGAGGCACGAAGGCUAGGGGAGCAAACGGGAUUAGAUACCCCAGUAGUCCUG
Molecule: ribosomal RNA, 427 nt
Filed under: uncultured bacterium
Lineage: Bacteria
Description: bacterial SSU rRNA
Rfam family: Bacterial small subunit ribosomal RNA
Source: RNAcentral